GAGGAUGAACGCUGGCGGCGUGCCUAAUACAUGCAAGUCGAGCGAACAGACGAGGAGCUUGCUCCUUUGACGUUAGCGGCGGACGGGUGAGUAACACGUGGGUAACCUACCUAUAAGACUGGGAUAACUUCGGGAAACCGGAGCUAAUACCGGAUAAUAUUUCGAACUACAUGGUUCGAUAGUGAAAGAUGGCUUUGCUAUCACUUAUAGAUGGACCUGCGCCGUAUUAGCUAGUUGGUAAGGUAACGGCUUACCAAGGCAACGAUACGUAGCCGACCUGAGAGGGUGAUCGGCCACACUGGAACUGAGACACGGUCCAGACUCCUACGGGAGGCAGCAGUAGGGAAUCUUCCGCAAUGGGCGAAAGCCUGACGGAGCAACGCCGCGUGAGUGAUGAAGGUCUUCGGAUCGUAAAACUCUGUUAUUAGGGAAGAACAAACGUGUAAGUAACUGUGCACGUCUUGACGGUACCUAAUCAGAAAGCCACGGCUAACUACGUG
Molecule: ribosomal RNA, 500 nt
Filed under: uncultured bacterium
Lineage: Bacteria
Description: bacterial SSU rRNA
Rfam family: Bacterial small subunit ribosomal RNA
Source: RNAcentral